AAUUAUGGGCAAUUUUGACCAUUUGAAAGUAUGGAGUGCCGGAUUUAACUCUUAGAAUUGGACGGGCUGCCUGAUUCCACUGGCUUCGAAUGAACAAAUCAGAACUCCAGUUGCCGGAAAACACCGCCGCUUUGGUCGUCGCAGGAGAAGAAAGGCCGCCUGAAACAGUGAGAAGAGGGACACAUACCGAAGAUGAAUACUCUGAGCAAACAAAACAAUAGAACCAAAGACGGAGAGGAUGAAACCAAUAGAGCUCAUUCAACAAUGUUCGAAAGCGAACAUAAGCAUUAUAACAAGGUCAAAAGCAAUGAAUGUGAAGAUGAUGACCAUGAAAAGAAAGUGAAAAAGAAGAAGAAACUAAUUGAGGGAGGCAGACUUGACCAAGGAAAGACGAAAAAGAACAAGAAUAAACCAAGUCACAAAAGAAAAAGUAACAAGGACAAUGAGUUUAAUAGCAAUCAAGGUGAAGUUAAUGAUCAAGGCAAACCGAUGAAGAAAAAAAAGGAAGCAAAGGCGAUUACAACGGAUGAAUCUCCUAAACCCAAACGGGUAACUUUUUCCAAUCAAGUGGAGGAGUUUUGUUGUGAUGGCUUAGUGCGUGGGAAACGUUUUACACCCGAAGAAGAUGAGAAAAUCAAAGCAGCUGUUUAUGAUUAUAUAGAUUCUCAUGGUUUGGGAGAGGAAGGUGUAGAUAUGAUUCUUCAUAUCAAAUCCAACCCUUCAGUUAGAGGUUGUUGGAAGGUUAUUGCACAAGCCCUACCUCAUAGGCCUCCCGAUAGUGUGUCUAAACGCGGUCAUGUUUUGUUUGAAAACAAUGUGGAAUUUGAGUGGACACCUGAUGAGCGUGAAUUUAUAUUGAAGGCUUACGAGCAACAUGGACCUGAUUGGAGGGCAAUAGCUGAUGCUUUGGGUAAAAGUCGAAAUCAGGUCAAAGAUUUGUGGCGCAGAUUAAAGUGUACUGGGAGAAAUAAAGGACAUUGGUCCCAAGAGGAGUAUCAAACUUUAUUUAAUUUAGUAAACCUCGAUCUCCGUGCGAGGGCUUUAGAGCCUUAUAGAAAAUCCCAACAUGGUAUGUUGAGAGAUAAUAUUUGUUGGGAAGCAAUUAGUCAGAAGUUGAAAACCCGAGACAGUGCAAUUUGCUGCAAGAAGUGGUAUGGACAGUUGAUAUCACCAAUGACUGCUAGUGGUGAAUGGUUAGAAUCCGAUGACUUCCGCUUGAUAGAUGCUUUAUAUGCUUUGGAUGCUUGCUGCAUGGAAGAGGUAGACUGGGACAAUCUAAUUGAGUAUAGGUCUGGUGAUGCAUGCAGACAACGAUGGGAUCAAAUGGUCCAACAUAUUGGCAAUCGUGCAGGGAAGUCAUUUAUUGAGCAGGUUGAAAUUCUUGCAAAGAGAUUCUGUCCAGACUUAUUGGAGGCAAGAGAGGCUUUUGACAACAAGCCUGUGAUUUGUUGAGGUUUCUAUUCUCUAACAUGGUUUACCUUGGGGUGAAAUAAUUUUAUUAAACCAGAAUGUAUUAUGCCAUGAUGCGUACGGCGUUUUUUGUGGGAUCAUCGAUGCUUUUCUGCUGUAUUUCAGAAAAUAGACUUAGUAUUGGAUUUUGAGGGUGAUAUAGGAAUGCUUUCUUGUGAUAAAAAUUUGACCCUUGUUCUUUUGUUCCUAUUUAAAACCAGAAGCAACAAAUAUCAGGGCAUGCAUUAGGAAAUCUGCAUGGAGAUGAGUUGCGGAUUGCAUCAAGCAGGAGGGCAUCCACUGAACUUGAUACAUUUACAGACAAAGCUUUAGUUGUGAAAUGAAGCUUCUCUGGUGUUUGUAACCCUUCUGGAUUUUUACUUUAGUGGUACAUUUUAAGUUACUUUUCAGUCACAUCCAUUGUUAGUUUGUGUUUAGAACAAUUAAGGUUGAUUGCAAUUGUUGGGUGAUUGUGAUAUGAAGUCAUGUGGUUAGGACUUAGAAACUUGCUCUGUCUAUUACUAGCAAUAGCAACCAAAUUGGUACGAGUUCUUGCUUAUUUUUUCAUUGAAACUGAAUGUUAUGAACAACCGACACCCCUUGAAUUUCCGGAAGCAAGUUUUAGCUAUUAUCUGAACUGGAUUUCAAGAUAAACUUAGCUUUUGAGUUAUUAUGUCUGCUUAUAGCCAUAACAUUGAGCAUAUGUAUUCUACAAGGUGAUCAAGAAUUAUUAUCACAUAUAUGGUAUACUGAUGAAUCAUGUAAAUGCAUCUUGUAAUUCUGUUUGUGUUAGUAAAUUGAGUUGUGUUUUGUUUUGA
This is an RNA transcript of Lathyrus oleraceus (garden pea), 2267 nucleotides long. It is a transcript of the gene named RNA polymerase I termination factor, with no coding region annotated. Lineage: Eukaryota; Viridiplantae; Streptophyta; Magnoliopsida; Fabales; Fabaceae. The transcript is spliced from 4 exons. The record is from RefSeq and is a predicted model, not a curated record.